AGCGUUGUUCGGAAUUACUGGGCGUAAAGGGCGCGUAGGCGGCCCGCUAAGUCGAACGUGAAAUCCCCGGGCUCAACCCGGGAACUGCGUCCGAUACUGGCAGGCUUGAAUUCGGGAGAGGGAUGUGGAAUUCCAGGUGUAGCGGUGAAAUGCGUAGAUAUCUGGAGGAACACCGGUGGCGAAGGCGGGUCUCUGGGCCGAUACUGACGCUGAGGAGCGAAAGCGUGGGGAGCGAACAGG
RNAcentral lists this ribosomal RNA (240 nucleotides) under uncultured bacterium. RNAcentral describes it as "partial 16S ribosomal RNA". It matches the Rfam family "Bacterial small subunit ribosomal RNA", at positions 537 to 776 of the family's 1533-position model. The record is from RNAcentral.